UAUUGGUCUCUUCUCUCUUGAGACAGAUAAGCAAAACAAGCCCAUUCAAUAAUCACGUGAAACCAACUUCCAUGUCUGAUAAACCUAGAUUCGUGAUCCUCAAACAAACAACAAACUUAGAGUUGGGGAAAUGAAACUGUCCAAUACAGCAAUCGAUUUGUCUUUGGAAGGAAUUCCUCAACCAUAAUUUUGAGACAACAACUGAAUUAUCUACAAGCCAAGGUAAGUAGACAGCAGCACAUCGUCUUAAUCCUUAACAAUCACAGCGUACCGAUCGCACUAAUCGCGUGUGAUCCAUCCACAACGGGCCCUACUAACAAAUCGCUUGCGCUCAUCAACCCUGAUAUCCGAACACCAUGUCACAAAAUUCGAAGCUCAAAGCAACAAAAAGGCGCAGAAUCUUACCCUCUCGGGUUCAUGGCGCUCGUCUCGAUCCGAAUCGUGCUGCCUCCUGCCUGCAGGAAUCAAACCCUAAACCCAUCAGAGACAAACAAAACAUUGAGGGCUUGUUCAAUUAGCUCUCAAUUCAUAUGGAUUAAGUGAGAUUGGAUGAGUUUGAAUCUCAAACAAGUCAAACUUUUUCUUAUUUUUUUCCAAUCUCAUCCAAUCCAUGUGUAUUGGGGAUAACCGAACAAGCCCUGAAGAGGGCACACUAAGAGCACGAAAACGCAGAGGGAAAAUCCGGAGAGGGAUGGUCGAGUGCGGGGAUCUGCGGACAAUCCAGCGAACUCACCUCUCGAUCGAUUCGCGUCGGAUCGGCGUGAAUUUAGGAUUCACGAAGCACUGCGAGAAGCCGCGGAGGGGAGGAGGACUGGAGGACAAGGAGUUAUGCUACGCGCUUCGUAGAAGUGAGAUUUACACAGAUAGCGUCACGUGUGCCAGGAUGUGAGAUGUCAAAGGCGUUGGGACCCACCGGCAGCGAGAGGAGCCUGUAGGGGCAGGUCGCUGUCGUCCGUCCGUUCGGAGAGGUGACGUGGCGCGUUCCGAUCGGACGGUCGGCGUCGACUCGUCACGAGCUCGUCCUCUU
Molecule: long non-coding RNA, 1027 nt
Filed under: Zea mays
Lineage: Eukaryota; Viridiplantae; Streptophyta; Magnoliopsida; Poales; Poaceae
Description: long non-coding RNA (ZMAY_LNC002628)
Source: RNAcentral